This 1676-nucleotide long non-coding RNA is filed under the name Marmota monax (woodchuck). The record is from RNAcentral. Lineage: Eukaryota; Metazoa; Chordata; Mammalia; Rodentia; Sciuridae.
GGUGAUCUGAGGGAAGGGAAAGGCCAGCUUGUCCAGAAAUACCAUCCUGCUAAAGCUGAAAAGGCUUGCAAUUCCCAUUACUCACUCCUUUUGGUUAGGAUGGGUACUAGAAAGCAUCUUUUAAAAUGUUGCUUCAGUGGAGCAAUGUGUCAGCAAACAAACUAUUAAUGUCCCAUCAAUUCAGCAGAAUUAAGAAGGACAAAGAACCUGAAAUCAUUUUUGAUAUGUGGGGGCUAGGAAAAGGAGAGACUGAAACUUAAACUAUUUCUGGCUGAUUUGAGUCACCUUUCCAUGGUUAUUCCAUCACUCCCUCAUAGCUUUCUUUAUACAUUCCCACUAAUCGUCCUCUGGGGAUUUGGGAUUUAUAAUAGAAAUAGUUCUAGGUAAUAACUAUCCUAGCAGCAAAAUCCUAAAGGAAAAAAAAAGUUUGAAGGUACAAAAUUUGUAACUAGUAAAAUAAAAUUGUGUUGCCAAAUGGAACUUCAUGGAUUGACCCAGGGUCUUGAAUUCCUCUAUCUUAGUCUGCUCAGGUUUUUAUAACAAAGUAUCCUGAUAUAAAAUGGGUGACCUAAAAACAACAGAAAUUUAUUUAUCACAGUUCUGUAAGCUGGAAACCCAAGGUCAAGUCAUCAGCCAAAUUGGUGACCAAUGAGGAUUUUCUUUCUGGUUCAUAGACUGUAGCUUCUUGCUCUACAUUCCCCACAUGGUGAAAGGAGCCGAUAAGCUCCCACAGGCCUCUUGUACAUGGCAAUAAUCCCAUUCACAGGGGCUCCACCCUUGUGAACUAAUCAUUUCUCAAAGGCCUCACCUCCUAGCACCAGGAGAUUGGUGGUUAGUAUUUUGUGUGGAAGUGGGUAUAACAUCUAAACCUUGGCACCCUUUUGCUGAUAAAGGAUACCACAUUUACUCAGAAGGGAUUUUUCUCUCCAGCUGAGACAAGGAAAAUUGAAGUUUUAGUGUGAACCAAGGGGGAGGUAGUUAUUUUACCUUGAGCAACCCUCAUCCUCUGUCAGGAACUGCAGAACUUCAGCUACAAGACAGAUCUAAAAACUGGUUAAUUACAAUACUUAUAUGCCUAAUUAUAAUUGAAGAUGGCUCCUAAUUAUAAAUUUUAUUGGCAUGAAUUAUUAUUUCAAGUAGAUAAUGAUCAACUAUUGCUAUAGAAUAAGGUGUCUUUAAAGGUCAAUUCAUAAAAGUAUUUUUUUCUUAAACAAAAGUGCCAAAGAGACUAUUAUGCACUCAUACUAUUUAGGGUUCAACAUGUUUCCAUUGAUAACUAUCACUUUCCCCCUGCAGUGAAACAACUUUAAAAUUCCAAUAACUUUCCCAAGGGCAGAAUAUUGAUAUUUACCUCUCUCAGAAAGGCAUGCCUCACCAUGGGAGUGCUUACAAAUGUUACAUAAAUUAGCUAUCUAUAUUCCUAAUGAAGAUGACAGAGACAAAAUUGAACUGAACUGUUCCUAUAAGUAGCUAUGACAAUUUUGAUCUUGCCAUAGUGUUUUUACACAGACUGACAGCCCUGUCUUCUAGAAAUUCUAAAACACCAAUAAAUAUUCAACCAGCAAUCAAGGAUCUUAAAAAAGGAGUAAGAAUGAGUUUUAAAUCUUGAUCAGUAUGGUAGUUAUAAUGAAAUAUGUCCCCCCCACUCUAUAGACACACACACACACACACACACA